Molecule: long non-coding RNA, 348 nt
Filed under: Macaca mulatta (Rhesus monkey)
Lineage: Eukaryota; Metazoa; Chordata; Mammalia; Primates; Cercopithecidae
Description: lncRNA (ENSMMUG00000057950.1)
Source: RNAcentral
UGAGGAGUAAUUACUGCCUGGGCAAACCCGUGCAAAAACAGUCACGCUGGUCGCAUAUUUAUGUCCUGCCAUUUGUUAGAAACUUUCAAGCGUCUACUACUGUUACUUUAAAAAAGUCUACAUGGAAAUUCUAUCCCCACCCUAACCUGAACUUAAGCCUGCAGAUGAGGAUCAGGCUCCCCAGCCUCCCGGAACAAGCAGACAGUUAUUAAUGGAAAUGUUCCACCAGCUCAGGGACCUCAGCCAUAUACCUAAUAUGGACAGAGGAAAAAGAUAUGUUUCUCUCCUACAAUGGUUUAUCAUGAAUUAUCUUAGUAAGGGGAUGUACAAAGAUUUGAGAGUUCAAAC